RNAcentral lists this ribosomal RNA (804 nucleotides) under Klebsiella oxytoca. Its description in RNAcentral is "bacterial SSU rRNA". It matches the Rfam family "Bacterial small subunit ribosomal RNA", at positions 61 to 847 of the family's 1533-position model. The record is from RNAcentral. Lineage: Bacteria; Pseudomonadati; Pseudomonadota; Gammaproteobacteria; Enterobacterales; Enterobacteriaceae.
GUCGAACGGUACACAGAGAGCUUGCUCUCGGGUGACGAAUGGCGGACGGGUGAGUAAUGUCUGGGAAACUGCCUGAUGGAGGGGGAUAACUACUGGAAACGGUAGCUAAUACCGCAUAACGUCGCAAGACCAAAGAGGGGGACCUUCGGGCCUCUUGCCAUCAGAUGUGCCCGAUGGGAUUAGCUAGUAGGUGGGGUAACGGCUCACCUAGGCGACGAUCCCUACCUGGUCUGAGAGGAUGACCAGCCACACUGGAACUGAGACACGGUCCAGACUCCUACGGGAGGCACCAGUGGGGAAUAUUGCGCAAUGGGCGCAAGCCUGAUGCAGCCAUGCCGCGUGUAUGAAAAAGGCCUUCGGGUUGUAAAGAACUUUCACCGGGGAGGAAGGGGAUAAGGUUAAUAACCUUGUUGAUUGACGUUACCCGCAGAAGAAGCACCGGCUAACUCCGUGCCAGCAGCCGCGGUAAUACGGAGGGUGCAAGCGUUAAUCGGAAUUACUGGGCGUAAAGCGCACGCAGGCGGUCUGUCAAGUCGGAUGUGAAAUCCCCGGGCUCAACCUGGGAACUGCAUUCGAAACUGGCAAGCUGGAGUCUUGUAUAGGAGGGGUAGAAUUCCAAGUGUAACGGUGAAAUGCGUAGUAGAUCUGGAGGAAUACCGGUAUAUGAAGGCGGACCCCCUGUACAAAGACUGACGUCUCAUGUGCUGAAAGCUGUGCGGGUAGCAGAUCAGGAAUUAGAUACGCCUGGAUACUCCACGCUGUACACUGAUGUCGACUUUGGCAGGAUAGCUUACCCUUUGACGA